Molecule: ribosomal RNA, 398 nt
Filed under: Sodalis-like symbiont of Philaenus spumarius
Lineage: Bacteria; Pseudomonadati; Pseudomonadota; Gammaproteobacteria; Enterobacterales; Bruguierivoracaceae
Description: Bacterial small subunit ribosomal RNA
Rfam family: Bacterial small subunit ribosomal RNA
Source: Rfam by way of RNAcentral
UAAUUUAAGAGUUUUAUCAUGGCUCAGAUUAAAUUCUGUCGGCAGGCCUAACACAUGCAAGUCGAGCAACAGUGGGAAGAAGCCUGCUUCCUUGCCGGCGAGCGGGUGAGUAAUUUCUGGCGAUCUGCCCGAUGGACUGGCGUAUAACGUCGCAAGACCAAAAUGGUGGACCUUAGAGCCUCACGCCUCUGUUAAGUCAGAGGCGAAAUCCCCGAGUUUAAAAUUAGGAACUGCAUUUUGAAACUGGCAAGCUAGAGUCUCGUAGAGGGAGGGUAAUGCCAGGUCUAGCGGUGAAAUGCGUAGAGAUAUGAAAGAAUACCGGUGGCGAAGGCGGGCCCCGUAGCCGAAGACUAACGCUCAGGUACGAAAGCGUGGGCAGCAAAAAAAAUUAGAUACCC